UUAAGCCGGAGGAAGGUGGGGAGUGACGUCAAGUCCUCAUGGCCUUUAUGCCCAGGGCUACACACGUGCUACAAUGGGUGGUACAAAGAGAUGCCAACUCGCGAGAGCGCGCCAAUCUCAGAAAGCCAUUCUCAGUUCGGAUUGGAGUCUGCAACUCGACUCCAUGAAGUUGGAAUCGCUAGUAAUCGCGGAUCAGCACGCCCGCGGUCCGAAUACGUUCCGGGCCUU
This 228-nucleotide ribosomal RNA is filed under the name uncultured Smithella sp. RNAcentral describes it as "partial 16S ribosomal RNA". It matches the Rfam family "Bacterial small subunit ribosomal RNA", at positions 1158 to 1382 of the family's 1533-position model. Lineage: Bacteria; Pseudomonadati; Thermodesulfobacteriota; Syntrophia; Syntrophales; Smithellaceae. The record is from RNAcentral.